AACCUGCCUAAGAGAUCGGGAUAACACCUGGAAACAGAUGCUAAUACCGGAUAAUAACAGAUGAUGCCUAUCAACUGUUUAAAAGAUGGUUCUGCUAUCACUCUUGGAUGGACCUGCGGUGCAUUAACUAGUUGGUAGGUAACGGCCUACCAAGGCGAUGAUGCAUAGCCGAGUUGAGAGACUGAUCGGCCACAUUGGGACUGAGACACGGCCCAAACUCCUACGGGAGGCAGCAGCC
This 238-nucleotide ribosomal RNA is filed under the name uncultured Lactobacillus sp. RNAcentral's name for it is "partial 16S ribosomal RNA". It matches the Rfam family "Bacterial small subunit ribosomal RNA", at positions 123 to 355 of the family's 1533-position model. The record is from RNAcentral. Lineage: Bacteria; Bacillati; Bacillota; Bacilli; Lactobacillales; Lactobacillaceae.